GAUGAACGCUGACAGAAUGCUUAACACAUCAGCAAUUGAUUGGUGGCGGACGGGUGAGUAACGCGUAAAGAACUUGCCUCACAGGUAGGGACAAAAUUUGGAAACGAAUGCUAAUACCUAAUACUGUGAGAGAGCUUUGCGUCCCAUUAGCAAGUUGGAGAGGUAACGGCUCACCAAGGCGAUGAUGGGUAGCCGGCCUGAGAGGGUGAUCGGCCACAAGUGGACUGAGACACGGCCCUUACUCAUACGGGAUGCAGCAGGUGGGAAUAGUGGACAAUGUACCAAAUUCUGAUCCAGCAAUUCUGUGUUCACGAUGAAGGUGUCGGAAUGUAAAGUGCUUUCAGUUGGGAAGCGGUACCAACAGAAGAAGUGACGGCUAAAUACGUGCCAGCAGCCGCGGUAAUUC
Molecule: ribosomal RNA, 406 nt
Filed under: uncultured bacterium
Lineage: Bacteria
Description: partial 16S ribosomal RNA
Rfam family: Bacterial small subunit ribosomal RNA
Source: RNAcentral